RNAcentral lists this long non-coding RNA (328 nucleotides) under Lathyrus oleraceus (garden pea). RNAcentral's name for it is "Pisum sativum (pea) long non-coding RNA (PSAT_LNC041033)". The record is from RNAcentral. Lineage: Eukaryota; Viridiplantae; Streptophyta; Magnoliopsida; Fabales; Fabaceae.
AAAGGCAUACAACCAAUGUCAACAGAAUAUCUGAAUAAACAACGUACAAAGAAAAAGAAUCCCAUCCAACAAGCCUGGAGGUGAUUCUUAACAAAAAGAUCCAAGAGAUGGCUUACACGCAAAUGAAUCCCAUCCAACAAGCCUGGAGGUGAUUCUCAACAAAAUACAAUCAGAGAUACAAACUAAGACAGACGGUCUUCCGGAAUGAGGGUCUUCAGGUAAUGGCACUGGUCGAUCAACAGUGAGCAUUCUGAACAAUCUGGUAAAGGAGUGAUCUUCUCUUUCAACUGUCUUCUCAGCUUCAAGACUUCUCCUCCAAGGUGGUCCU